RNAcentral lists this ribosomal RNA (435 nucleotides) under uncultured bacterium. RNAcentral's name for it is "partial 16S ribosomal RNA". It matches the Rfam family "Bacterial small subunit ribosomal RNA", at positions 28 to 507 of the family's 1533-position model. The record is from RNAcentral.
GAUGAACGCUGGCGGUAUGCUUAACACAUGCAAGUCGAACGGACUCUUCGGAGUUAGUGGCGGACGGGUGAGUAACGCGUGAGAAUCUGGCUUUGGGUUCGGGACAACCACUGGAAACGGUGGCUAAUACCGGAUGUGCCGAGAGGUAAAAGAGAAAUUGCCUGAAGAUGAGCUCGCGUCUGAUUAGCUAGUUGGUGAGGUAAAGGCUCACCAAGGCAGCGAUCAGUAGCUGGUCUGAGAGGAUGACCAGCCACACUGGGACUGAGACACGGCCCAGACUCCUACGGGAGGCAGCAGUGGGGAAUUUUCCGCAAUGGGCGAAAGCCUGACGGAGCAAUACCGCGUGAGGGAAGAAGGCUCUUGGGUUGUAAACCUCUUUUCUUAGGGAAGAACAAAAUGACGGUACCUAAGGAAUCAGCAUCGGCUAACUCUGUG